GCCCGCUCCAUCGGGGAGUAGCCGACCGGCGACGACAUGCGUCGGGGCGCGCGUCAACACACUUGAUCGACCGAUCAUGGCGCGCGCGAUGCGGAGCCCAUCCGCUUCCGGCAAGACCGCUGGUUCUCACGCAAC
This 135-nucleotide non-coding RNA is filed under the name Lysobacteraceae bacterium. RNAcentral describes it as "Xanthomonadaceae bacterium Manganese sequence". The stretch from base 9 to 109 matches the Rfam family "Manganese Mn2+ riboswitch aptamer (yybP-ykoY)". From Rfam's summary of the family: This RNA was originally discovered in E. coli during a large scale screen and was named SraF. The family was later found to exist upstream of related families of protein genes in many bacteria, including the the yybP and ykoK genes in B. subtilis. Lineage: Bacteria; Pseudomonadati; Pseudomonadota; Gammaproteobacteria; Lysobacterales; Lysobacteraceae. The record is from RNAcentral.